AUUGAACGCUGGCGGCAGGCCUAACACAUGCAAGUCGAGCGGCAGCGGAAAGUAGCUUGCUACUUUGCCGGCGAGCGGCGGACGGGUGAGUAAUGUCUGGGAAACUGCCUGAUGGAGGGGGAUAACUACUGGAAACGGUAGCUAAUACCGCAUGACCUCGAAAGAGCAAAGUGGGGGAUCUUCGGACCUCACGCCAUCGGAUGUGCCCAGAUGGGAUUAGCUAGUAGGUGAGGUAAUGGCUCACCUAGGCGACGAUCCCUAGCUGGUCUGAGAGGAUGACCAGCCACACUGGAACUGAGACACGGUCCAGACUCCUACGGGAGGCAGCAGUGGGGAAUAUUGCACAAUGGGCGCAAGCCUGAUGCAGCCAUGCCGCGUGUGUGAAGAAGGCCUUAGGGUUGUAAAGCACUUUCAGCGAGGAGGAAGGCACCAUACUUAAUACGUGUGGUGAUUGACGUUACUCGCAGAAGAAGCACCGGCUAACUCCGUGCCAGCAGCCGCGGUAAUACGGAGGGUGCAAGCGUUAAUCGGAAUUACUGGGCGUAAAGCGCACGCAGGCGGUUUGUUAAGUCAGAUGUGUAAUCCCCGCGCUUAACGUGGGAACUGCAUUUGAAACUGGCAAGCUAGAGUCUUGUAGAGGGGGGUAGAAUUCCAGGUGUAGCGGUGAAAUGCGUAGAGAUCUGGAGGAAUACCGGUGGCGAAGGCGGCCCCCUGGACAAAGACUGACGCUCAGGUGCGAAAGCGUGGGGAGCAAACAGG
Molecule: ribosomal RNA, 759 nt
Filed under: uncultured Enterobacteriaceae bacterium
Lineage: Bacteria; Pseudomonadati; Pseudomonadota; Gammaproteobacteria; Enterobacterales; Enterobacteriaceae
Description: bacterial SSU rRNA
Rfam family: Bacterial small subunit ribosomal RNA
Source: RNAcentral